UCUUCCUUCUCUUCCUUUUGACCCCCGACGCCUCCUCAGGACGAGACUCUGGAGCGGGAACCUCGAUCGGAGGGCUUCUUGAAGAAGCUCGGGGGACUGUGGGCUCGACGUCGGAGGGGGCGUCAUUGACAACGAUCGCCUGGGCAAGCACGGUCGAGCUUGUCUCCUCUAUCCUCACCUUCUUCGCCGAUCCAAAAGUUGCGAUGCCUUUCCUCUUGUGGGCCUUGAGAUCCUUGGCUAGUAUCUGAGCUGC
RNAcentral lists this long non-coding RNA (253 nucleotides) under Elaeis guineensis (African oil palm). RNAcentral describes it as "long non-coding RNA (EGUI_LNC080481)". Lineage: Eukaryota; Viridiplantae; Streptophyta; Magnoliopsida; Arecales; Arecaceae. The record is from RNAcentral.